AGGGCUGUAGCUCCAAUUGGUUAGAGCACCGGUCUCCAAAACCGGGUGUUGGGGGUUCGAAUCCCUCCAGCCCUGCCA
Molecule: transfer RNA, 78 nt
Filed under: Bacillota bacterium
Lineage: Bacteria; Bacillati; Bacillota
Description: tRNA-Trp
Rfam family: tRNA
About the family: Transfer RNA (tRNA) molecules are approximately 80 nucleotides in length. Their secondary structure includes four short double-helical elements and three loops (D, anti-codon, and T loops).
Source: RNAcentral